Molecule: small nucleolar RNA, 138 nt
Organism: Jaculus jaculus (lesser Egyptian jerboa)
Lineage: Eukaryota; Metazoa; Chordata; Mammalia; Rodentia; Dipodidae
Product: small nucleolar RNA SNORA57
Exons: 1
Source: RefSeq, a predicted model, not a curated record
CCUCCUUUUCUUGUGUGUGUGCUGGGUGUGUGCCCCAGUCCCCGUUACAUGCAGAGACAGAUGGAAAGGCUUCAUUCCCUGUCUUUGGUGCCAGCAAAUUCCUGUUUGCUAGUUCUGUCCUUAAACACUGGGACACUU